GUCGGGAAUUUUGGGCAAUGGCCGAAAGGGCUGACCCAGCAACACCGCGUGAGUGAAGAAGGCCUUCGGGUUGUAAAGCUCUGUUGCCCGUGAAGAACGGUACGAAGAGGAAAUGCUUUGUACUUGACGGUAGCGGGAGAGGAAGCUCCGGCUAACUACGUGCCAGCAGCCGCGGUAAUACGUAGGGAGCGAGCGUUGUCCGGAUUUAUUGGGCGUAAAGGGCGUGUAGGCGGCCUGUUAAGUCUGAAGUGAAAACUCGGGGCUCAACCCCGAGCCUGCUUCGGAUACUGGUGGGCUUGAGUGCUCUAGAGGGCAGUGGAAUUCCCGGUGUAGCAGUGAAAUGCGUAGAGAUCGGGAGGAACACCAGUGGCGAAGGCGACUGCCUGGGGAGUAACUGACGCUGAGGCGCGAAAGCUGGGGGAGCAAACGGG
Molecule: ribosomal RNA, 431 nt
Filed under: bacterium
Lineage: Bacteria
Description: bacterial SSU rRNA
Rfam family: Bacterial small subunit ribosomal RNA
Source: RNAcentral